Molecule: long non-coding RNA, 597 nt
Filed under: Carica papaya (papaya)
Lineage: Eukaryota; Viridiplantae; Streptophyta; Magnoliopsida; Brassicales; Caricaceae
Description: long non-coding RNA (CPAP_LNC003897)
Source: RNAcentral
UCAGAGCCAAAUAUCAAAACGCGACUCACGCUGGAAUAGCCACCGUACCCGAGAGCACCGCUGCCGGUAAGUUUUCGUUUUUCGUGAUUAUUUGGCCCACCGAGGGCCCUAGGGUUGUUUUAUCGCAGGGACCGAUGCAAGUGUGGUCGAAUUCAGCUGAAAACGGCCAACCCGAGGUGAAUCGCCGCCGCAAGCGGCGGCGCCCUCGUCGGAGCACGGCGGAGCCACCGUGCCAAAAUUCUGAUAUUGGCCAAAAGGGACCCUAGGUCUGAUUUGGGAUUUUUUUGGGACACGUGCAGGUACCAGUAGUGCAUUUCAGUUUUCUGGAAAAAAUUCAGGAAAAUUAGGGACAGCCUGUAGGCACACUGUAGAGUCGAAUUCAGACCCCAAAAUAGGUAAGGACCCCUCACCCUAUUUCCUAUCACGGUAUUAAAGCUAAAUGAAUAAUUAAACUGUACUUUGUGACUUUAUAGAUGUAUAAUUGAUUAAGGUUGCCAAUGGAGCCCGAGUCUGACACAGUGUUGGUCUGUUACUAUUUGAUCUAUUUUUCAAUAUUAAAUGCAGCAUGAUGUCUGAUGUAUUUAUUUUAUGGUCUCG